This 746-nucleotide ribosomal RNA is filed under the name Phaeoxantha aequinoctialis. RNAcentral's name for it is "partial 16S ribosomal RNA". The stretch from base 1 to 559 matches the Rfam family "Bacterial large subunit ribosomal RNA", at positions 1900 to 2925 of the family's 2925-position model. Lineage: Eukaryota; Metazoa; Arthropoda; Insecta; Coleoptera; Carabidae. The record is from RNAcentral.
CCCUGCCCAGAGCCUUAAUAUAUUAAAUGGCCGCAGUAUUAUGACUGUGCAAAGGUAGCGUAAUCAUUAGUUUUUUAAUUGAAAGCUUGUAUGAAUGGUUGGACGAGGUAAAUACUGUCUUUAUUUAAUUUACAUUAGAAUUUAACUUUUAAGUGAAAAGGCUUAAAUGAUAUUAAUAGACGAGAAGACCCUAUAGAUCUUUAUAUGUUGAUUUAUUAAUUAUAUUAGGAUUAUUUAUAGAUUAAUAAUUUAAUUUAUUUUAUUGGGGUAAUAUAAAGAUUAAAUUAAUUCUUUGAAAAUUUAAACAAUAAUAAAUGAAUAAUUGAUCCAUUAAUAUUGAUUAUAAGAUUAAGUUACCUUAGGGAUAACAGCGUAAUUUUUUUAGAGAGUUCAUAUCGAUAAAAAAGUUUGCGACCUCGAUGUUGGAUUAAAAAUUAUUUCGGGUGCAGAAGUUCGAAAAUUUGGUCUGUUCGACCAUUAAAUUUUUACAUGAUCUGAGUUCAGACCGGCGUAAGCCAGGUCGGUUUCUAUCUUUAGUUUAAAUAAAAUAUUUCAGUACGAAAGGACCAAAUAUUUGAUAUAAUUUAUUUAAUUUUUGAAUAUUAGUAUUACUUUGGCAGAAUAGUGCAAUGAAUUUAGAAUUCAUUAAUGUAAUUUAAUAUUACAGGUAAUACUUGUUUAUAGGUGAUUUGAUCCUUAUAGUAGUGUGCAUAUUAUUAUUGGUAAUUUGUGUAUUGGUGGGGAGU